This 278-nucleotide unclassified non-coding RNA is filed under the name Athalia rosae (coleseed sawfly). RNAcentral's name for it is "misc RNA ENSAEAG00005007884.1". The record is from RNAcentral. Lineage: Eukaryota; Metazoa; Arthropoda; Insecta; Hymenoptera; Athaliidae.
AGAAUAUUAAAAAGAAUUAGAAACAAAUUCAGAAUAAAUCUGGGAUGGUGUAACUCUAGUUGCAUAUCAGAAAACGCUCCCAGGGCCAUGGAACGAUGCGGUAAUUGACAAAUCAAUUGGAAUAGGUGCAUCUUUAUGGUCUCUCUUGUUCAUCUUGACGUGUGUGGCUCCACGCGCAAAUGACGUUUGCAGGGCGUACAAGACACAAGGAGUGCCCCAAGCCCAACAGAUGAGCUUAGAAAAGAUUCACUGGCCAGUCGAGAGACGAGGAUCUGGGU